AACGAACGCUGGCGGCGUGCUUAACACAUGCAAGUCGAACGGAAAGGCCUGCUUUCCCUUGUGGAUUGCGGGUACUCGAGUGGCGAACGGGUGAGUAACACGUGAGUGAUCUGCCCCCAACUUGGGUAUAAGCCUGGGAAACUGGGUCUAAUUCCCGAUAGGACUGCAGGGUGGUGCCUGUGGUGGAAAACGAUUUUCUAGUGGUUGGGGAUGAGCUCGCGGCCUAUCAGCUUGUUGGUGGGGUAAUGGCCUACCAAGGCGGCGACGGGUAGCCGGCCUGAGAGGGUGGACGGCCACAUUGGGACUGAGAUACGGCCCAGACUCCUACGGGAGGCAGCAGUGGGGAAUAUUGCACAAUGGGCGGAAGCCUGAUGCAGCGACGCCGCGUGGGGGAUGACGGCCUUCGGGUUGUAAACUCCUUUCGACCGCGAGGAAGCCACCUGGUUGGAAGGGUGGUGACGGUAGUGGUAGAAGAAGCACCGGCUAACUACGUG
Molecule: ribosomal RNA, 494 nt
Filed under: uncultured bacterium
Lineage: Bacteria
Description: partial 16S ribosomal RNA
Rfam family: Bacterial small subunit ribosomal RNA
Source: RNAcentral